UACGGAGGGGGCUAGCGUUGUUCGGAAUCACUGGGCGGAAAGCGCGCGUAGGCGGCCGGCGAAGUCAGGCGUGAAAGCCCCGGGCUCAACCUGGGAAUUGCGCUUGAUACUGGUCGGCUAGAGGCCGGGAGAGGGUAGUGGAAUUCCCAGUGUAGAGGUGAAAUUCGUAGAUAUUGGGAAGAACACCGGUGGCGAAGGCGGCUACCUGGACCGGUUCUGACGCUGAGGUGCGAAAGCGUGGGGAGCAAACAGG
Molecule: unclassified non-coding RNA, 253 nt
Filed under: uncultured Alphaproteobacteria bacterium
Lineage: Bacteria; Pseudomonadati; Pseudomonadota; Alphaproteobacteria
Description: contains 16S-23S intergenic spacer region
Rfam family: Bacterial small subunit ribosomal RNA
Source: RNAcentral